Long non-coding RNA from Saccostrea echinata, 444 nucleotides. RefSeq lists it as uncharacterized. Lineage: Eukaryota; Metazoa; Mollusca; Bivalvia; Ostreida; Ostreidae. The transcript is spliced from 3 exons. The record is from RefSeq and is a predicted model, not a curated record.
UAAUAAAUUUUUCGUAAUAUUUUCUUUGAUUUGCGACAAUCGCCAUAAUAUUCGCAGUUCGGUAGCGAAUGUCAACAUGUCCAGAUCAUUUUCCGUAGAAAACCCCGAGAGGGUUGUUUUGUAAAAUCUACCAACUGUGAACAUUAUCGAAGCAUUGCAGAAGCCCAGGGACAGUUAUGACAAAUUAAAUCAUAGUUAUUUAUGCCCGGGAAAUUCCGAUCAGCCAAAAGGGAAGCUUGAACUUGAAGGUCACAAACAUGUGCAAGAUUGCAGAUCCACGUUGCCUCGUCUGAAGUCAUGUCGUGUGCAGUGAGCAUGAGAAAAUCAACCCUACUUUACCCUAGACUAGAAAAAAGACUGGAGGUCAGAAUGCAGGAUGAUUGAGCAAGGAGUGCUGGCAGAUGGACUAUUGAGGUCAACAAAAAAUUUGGACUUUCAUCGGGU